UACGGGGGGAGCAAGCGUUGUUCGGAUUUACUGGGCGUAAAGGGCGCGUAGGCGGUCAGCACAAGUCAGUUGUGAAAUCUCCGGGCUUAACUCGGAAAGGUCAACUGAUACUGUGCGACUAGAGUGCAGAAGGGGCAACUGGAAUUCUCGGUGUAGCGGUGAAAUGCGUAGAUAUCGAGAGGAACACCUGCGGCGAAGGCGGGUUGCUGGGCUGACACUGACGCUGAUGAGCGAAAGCUAGGGGAGCAAACGGG
Molecule: ribosomal RNA, 254 nt
Filed under: uncultured bacterium
Lineage: Bacteria
Description: partial 16S ribosomal RNA
Rfam family: Bacterial small subunit ribosomal RNA
Source: RNAcentral